UAGAAAAGAGAGAGGACUUCUUUGAUUUGGGAGCCUAGGUGUAUAACUCAGGUCCCAGAAUUGACUCUUCCAUGAAAUGGAGAAGCUCCAGGCAGCCUCGUUAGUGAUUCUAUGGCUUCAGCUUGGUUGGGUAAUCAGCCAGAAGGAAGAACAGAGUACUGUGCCGGUGACGGUUCAGGAGGAUGAGAGAUGUUCUCUGAACUGCAGUUAUACUAGUAGUAUCACCAAUUUACAGUGGUAUAGACAAGAUCCUGGGAAGGGCCUUGUCUUCCUGAUGCUAAUACGUUCAAAUGAGAAAGAAAAAGUGAGUGAGAGAUUCACAGCCAGACUUGAUACCACCAAUAAGCACAGCUCCCUCCACCUGCUAGCCUGCAAGCCUGAAGACUCAGCCACCUACUUCUGUGCAGUAGACACACAGUGUUUCCCAACCACCAGCAGCCGGUACCUAAACUCAUGCUCACAAUGUAGGGGGGCGGGUAGACUGUGGAAGUUUAACCUGCACUGUACGAGGUGGGUGUUCAAGGCAGCAGAAACCGGAGGCCAGAAGACUGUAGAUCGUUGGCCCAGCUGGCAGAGUUGGCGGCCACCGAUUUUCUGGAUCUCUCUCCUGGUUUCACUCACAAUGACGUGA
Molecule: non-coding RNA, 631 nt
Organism: Vombatus ursinus (common wombat)
Lineage: Eukaryota; Metazoa; Chordata; Mammalia; Diprotodontia; Vombatidae
Source: the annotation of a RefSeq genome assembly